This 613-nucleotide ribosomal RNA is filed under the name uncultured bacterium. RNAcentral describes it as "bacterial SSU rRNA". It matches the Rfam family "Bacterial small subunit ribosomal RNA", at positions 9 to 630 of the family's 1533-position model. The record is from RNAcentral.
GAGUUUGAUCCUGGCUCAGGAUGAACGCUAGCGGCAGGCCUAAUACAUGCAAGUCGAACGGUGAUAGCAAUAUCAUAGUGGCGCACGGGUGCGUAACACGUAUGCAACCUACCUUAUACUGAGGGAUAGCCUUUCGAGAGGGAGAUUAAUACCUCAUAACACAUUGAACUGGCAUCAGUUUAUUGUUAAAGAUUUAUUGGUAUAAGAUGGGCAUGCGUCCAAUUAGUUAGUUGGCGAGGUAACGGCUCACCAAGACGAUGAUUGGUAGGGGAACUGAGAGGUUAAUCCCCCACACUGGCACUGAGAUACGGGCCAGACUCCUACGGGAGGCAGCAGUAGGGAAUAUUGGGCGAUGGAGGCAACUCUGACCCAGCCAUGCCGCGUGCAGGAAGAAGGCGUUAUGCGUUGUAAACUGCUUUUAUAUAGGAAGAAAUAGACCUUGCGAGGUAAGUUGACGGUACUAUAUGAAUAAGCACCGGCUAACUCCGUGCCAGCAGCCGCGGUAAUACGGAGGGUGCAAGCGUUGUCCGGAUUUAUUGGGUUUAAAGGGUGCGUAGGCGGUUUAUUAAGUCAGUGGUGAAAGACGGUCGCUCAACGAUUGCAGUGCCAUUGA